Molecule: ribosomal RNA, 842 nt
Filed under: Pseudomonas putida
Lineage: Bacteria; Pseudomonadati; Pseudomonadota; Gammaproteobacteria; Pseudomonadales; Pseudomonadaceae
Description: bacterial SSU rRNA
Rfam family: Bacterial small subunit ribosomal RNA
Source: RNAcentral
CUUGCUCCUUGAUUCAGCGGCGGACGGGUGAGUAAUGCCUAGGAAUCUGCCUGGUAGUGGGGGACAACGUUUCGAAAGGAACGCUAAUACCGCAUACGUCCUACGGGAGAAAGCAGGGGACCUUCGGGCCUUGCGCUAUCAGAUGAGCCUAGGUCGGAUUAGCUAGUUGGUGAGGUAAUGGCUCACCAAGGCGACGAUCCGUAACUGGUCUGAGAGGAUGAUCAGUCACACUGGAACUGAGACACGGUCCAGACUCCUACGGGAGGCAGCAGUGGGGAAUAUUGGACAAUGGGCGAAAGCCUGAUCCAGCCAUGCCGCGUGUGUGAAGAAGGUCUUCGGAUUGUAAAGCACUUUAAGUUGGGAGGAAGGGCAUUAACCUAAUACGUUAGUGUUUUGACGUUACCGACAGAAUAAGCACCGGCUAACUCUGUGCCAGCAGCCGCGGUAAUACAGAGGGUGCAAGCGUUAAUCGGAAUUACUGGGCGUAAAGCGCGCGUAGGUGGUUUGUUAAGUUGGAUGUGAAAGCCCCGGGCUCAACCUGGGAACUGCAUCCAAAACUGGCAAGCUAGAGUACGGUAGAGGGUGGUGGAAUUUCCUGUGUAGCGGUGAAAUGCGUAGAUAUAGGAAGGAACACCAGUGGCGAAGGCGACCACCUGGACUGAUACUGACACUGAGGUGCGAAAGCGUGGGGAGCAAACAGGAUUAGAUACCCUGGUAGUCCACGCCGUAAACGAUGUCAACUAGCCGUUGGAAUCCUUGAGAUUUUAGUGGCGCAGCUAACGCAUUAAGUUGACCGCCUGGGGAGUACGGCCGCAAGGUUAAAACUCAAAUGAAUUGACGGG